Molecule: ribosomal RNA, 524 nt
Filed under: uncultured bacterium
Lineage: Bacteria
Description: bacterial SSU rRNA
Rfam family: Bacterial small subunit ribosomal RNA
Source: RNAcentral
UUGGGAAUAUUGGACAAUGGGGGAAACCCUGAUCCAGCAAUGCCGCGUGGGUGAUGAAGGCCUUCGGGUUGUAAAGCCCUUUUGGCGGGGACGAUGAUGACGGUACCCGCAGAAUAAGCCCCGGCUAACUUCGUGCCAGCAGCCGCGGUAAUACGAAGGGGGCUAGCGUUGUUCGGAAUUACUGGGCGUAAAGGGCGCGUAGGCGGCCGUGCAAGUCAGAUGUGAAAGCCCUGGGCUCAACCCAGGAGGUGCAUUUGAUACUGCAUGGCUAGAGUGUCGGAGAGGAUGGUGGAAUUCCCAGUGUAAAGGUGAAAUUCGUAGAUAUUGGGAAGAACACCGGUGGCGAAGGCGACCAUCUGGACGACAACUGACGCUGAGGCGCGAAAGCGUGGGGAGCAAACAGGAUUAGAUACCCUGGUAGUCCACGCCGUAAACUAUGCGUGUUGGACGUUGGCGAGCCUAGCUCGUCGGUGUCGCAGCUAACGCGUUAAACACGCCGCCUGGGGAGUACGGCCGCAAGGUUA